GCCGUCGUAGUUCAAUGAGCAGAACACCGCACCCGUAAUGCGGAGGCUGCCGGUGCAAAACCGGCCGACGGCUCCA
This 76-nucleotide transfer RNA is filed under the name Bifidobacterium bifidum. RNAcentral describes it as "tRNA-Thr". Lineage: Bacteria; Bacillati; Actinomycetota; Actinomycetes; Bifidobacteriales; Bifidobacteriaceae. The record is from RNAcentral.